GAACGCACAUUGCGCCCCCUGGUAUUCCGGGGGGCACACCUGUUCGAGCGCCAUUUCAACCCUCAAGCCUUGCUUGUUGAUGGGCCCCGCCCGCGCGGCGGGCCCGAAACUCGUGGGCGCCCCAGGCCGGACUCCAAGCGUAGCAAAACCCUCGCUUGCGGACGACCGGUCGGAGGCCGCCCCGGACCCCCAAUAUUUAUCAAUGGUUGGCCUCGGAUCAGGUGGGGAUACCCGCUGAACUUAAG
RNAcentral lists this unclassified non-coding RNA (245 nucleotides) under uncultured Venturiaceae. RNAcentral's name for it is "sequence contains 5.8S rRNA gene". The record is from RNAcentral. Lineage: Eukaryota; Fungi; Ascomycota; Dothideomycetes; Venturiales; Venturiaceae.